CAAGCGGUGGAGCAUGUGGUUUAAUUCAAAGCAACGCGCAGAACCUUACCAGCCUUUGACAUGGCGGGACGGCAUCGAGAGAUUGAUGUCUUCACUUCGGUGACCCGCGCACAGGUGCUGCAUGGCUGUCGUCAGCUCGUGUCGUGAGAUGUUGGGUUAAGUCCCGCAACGAGCGCAACCCACGUCCUCAGUUGCCAUCAUUCAGUUGGGCACUCUGGGGAGACUGCCGGUGAUAAGCCGCGAGGAAGGUGUGGAUGACGUCAAGUCCUCAUGGCCCUUACGGGCUGGGCUACACACGUGCUACAAUGGCGCAGACAAAGAGAAGCGAACCCGCGAGAGCAAGCGGAUCUCAAAAAGUGCUCUCUAUUCCGAAUGCGAUCUGGCACCUCAGCGCCUGGAGUUCGAAUCCGUUGGUAUUCGGGAAUCGGACUGCAACGGGGAAAAGGUUCCCGGCCCUGGACCCCCC
Molecule: ribosomal RNA, 466 nt
Filed under: uncultured bacterium
Lineage: Bacteria
Description: bacterial SSU rRNA
Rfam family: Bacterial small subunit ribosomal RNA
Source: RNAcentral